GACCACCGUGGCCGAGUGGUAACACUGACGACUUUGAUUCGUCAGGUCGUGGGUUCGCGGCCCGCCACGGUCA
This is a non-coding RNA of Halocaridina rubra (Hawaiian volcano shrimp), 73 nucleotides long. Lineage: Eukaryota; Metazoa; Arthropoda; Malacostraca; Decapoda; Atyidae. The record is from the annotation of a GenBank genome assembly.